RNAcentral lists this unclassified non-coding RNA (293 nucleotides) under Hevea brasiliensis (rubber tree). The record is from RNAcentral. Lineage: Eukaryota; Viridiplantae; Streptophyta; Magnoliopsida; Malpighiales; Euphorbiaceae.
CUGUGUGCAAAUCAUUUUGUGAAAUUGUUGAAAGUAAGAAAAUACAUCACUUUUUGCUUUCAUCAAAUAAGCCUAUGUCAACCUAGUGCAACAAUUAAUAAAAGUGACAAACCAUCUAUAACCAUACAUAGAAACAUUUUGAGUAUGUCUCUAGAUAUCAGAAUGAAUAGUCAUAAAAGGAAUAAAACUUUUAUUAUUUGCACAAGCAUAAGAUUAUCUUGUGUUUUUAGCAAAUUCACAAGCAUCAUAAACUAGUAAAUUUGAGUUGUAAUUCUUAAACAAAUUAGGAUAUA